GACGAACGCUGGCGGCGUGCUUAACACAUAGAAGUCGAACGGAAAGGCCCUGCUUUUGUGGGGUGCUCGAGUGGCGAACGGGUGAGUAACACGUGAGUAACCUGCCCUUGACUUUGGGAUAACUUCAGGAAACUGGGGCUAAUACCGGAUAGGAGCUCCUGCUGCAUGGUGGGGGUUGGAAAGUUUCGGCGGUUGGGGAUGGACUCGCGGCUUAUCAGCUUGUUGGUGGGGUAGUGGCUUACCAAGGCUUUGACGGGUAGCCGGCCUGAGAGGGUGACCGGCCACAUUGGGACUGAGAUACGGCCCAGACUCCUACGGGAGGCAGCAGUGGGGAAUAUUGCACAAUGGGCGGAAGCCUGAUGCAGCAACGCCGCGUGCGGGAUGACGGCCUUCGGGUUGUAAACCGCUUUCGCCUGUGACGAAGCGUGAGUGACGGUAAUGGGUAAAGAAGCACCGGCUAACUACGUG
Molecule: ribosomal RNA, 468 nt
Filed under: uncultured bacterium
Lineage: Bacteria
Description: partial 16S ribosomal RNA
Rfam family: Bacterial small subunit ribosomal RNA
Source: RNAcentral